RNAcentral lists this ribosomal RNA (2170 nucleotides) under human gut metagenome. RNAcentral describes it as "bacterial LSU rRNA". It matches the Rfam family "Bacterial large subunit ribosomal RNA", at positions 467 to 2523 of the family's 2925-position model. The record is from RNAcentral.
UAAAUAUUCCUGUCUGACCGAUAGCGAACGAGUACCGUGAGGGAAAGGUGAAAAGUACCCCGGGAGGGGAGUGAAACAGUCUCUGAAACCAUGCGCCUACGAACCGUCGGGGCCCCCUUGUGGGGUGACGGCGUGCCUAUCGAAAAAUGAGUCUGCGAGUCAGUGGCAUGUGGCGAGCAUAAGCCGUGUGGCGUAUGCGUAGCGAAGGCGAGUCUUAAAAGGCGUUUGAGUCGCGUGUCCUGGACCCGAAGCGGGAUGAUCUAGCCCUGAGCAGGUUGAAGCGCGGGUAAGACCGUGUGGAGGACCGAACCCACCUGGGUUGAAAACCGGGGGGAUGACUUGGGGCUAGGGGUGAAAGGCCAAUCAAAUUCCGUGAUAGCUGGUUCUCUCCGAAAUGCAUUUAGGUGCAGCGUCGGAUCGAUUACAUCCGGGGGGUAGAGCGACUGGAUGCUUGCGGGCCCAUAUCGGGUACCAACAGCAACCAAACUCCGAAUACCCGUGAUGCGUAUCCCGGCAGUGAGUCGGCGGGGGAUAAGCUCCGUCGUCGAAAGGGAAACAGCCCAGAUCGUCGUCUAAGGUCCCCAAGCGUGUGCUAAGUGGGAAAGGAUGUGGAGUCGCAUAGACAGCCAGGAGGUUGGCUCAGAAGCAGCCACCCUUGAAAGAGUGCGUAACAGCUCACUGGUCUAGUGGUUCCGCGCCGACAAUGUAGCGGGGCUCAAGCACACCACCGAAGACGCGGCAGUAGCUUUGCUACUGGGUAGGAGAGCGUCCCAUGCGGGGCGAAGCGGCGGCGCAAGCCCGCCGUGGACUGCAUGGGAGUGAGAAUGCAGACAUGAGUAGCGAAAGACGGGUGAAGAUCCCGUCCGCUGGACGACCAAGGGUUCCAGGGCCACGUUCAUCGUCCCUGGGUGAGUCGGGUCCUAAGGCGAGGCCGACAGGCGUAGUCGAAUGGAUGAACGGGUCGAUAUUCCCGUACCGGCAUGCAACCGACAAAACCGAAUCCGCGAGUACUAACCUCCGGGUCCGGGCUUACGUCUCCUUCGGGAGCCGGAUGCCCUGGCCUGUUGGGACCGUAACGGUAGUAGGUCAGCGCGGGAGUGACGCAGAAGGGUAGCCGGCCGCGGAGGUGGUCUUCCGUGGUCAAGCACGCAGCCCGUCCCACAGGCAAAUCCGUGGGGCGCGUGGGCGAGGUGCGAUGAUGGGCGCCGCAGGGCGCGAUAUCCGGUGAUCCCGGCUGCCGAGAAAAGCUUCGGCGUGAGGCGGCGUGCCGCCCGUACCCCAAACCGACACUGGUGGUCAGGUAGAGAAUACCAAAGCGAUCGAGCGAAUCCUGGUCAAGGAACUCGGCAAAUCACUCCCGUUCCUUCGGUUUAAGGGAGACCCCCGAUGGUGAAGCGGCUUGCCCGUGGAGCUUUUGGGGGUGGCACAGACCAGGGGGUAGCGACUGUUUACCAAAAACACAGGAGCGUGCGAAGGCGCAAGCCGCUGUAUACGCUCUGACGCCUGCCCGGUGCCGGAAGGUUAAGAGGAUCCGUCAGGCUUCGGCCGAAGCGGUGAAUUCAAGCCCCGGUAAACGGCGGUGGUAACUAUAACCAUCCUAAGGUAGCGAAAUUCCUUGUCGGGUAAGUUCCGACCUGCACGAAUGGCGUAACGACUUCCCCACUGUCUCGACCAGGAGCUCGGCGAAAUUGCAGUACGAGUAAAGAUGCUCGUUAAGCGCAGAAGGACGAAAAGACCCCGGGACCUUUACUAUACCUUGGUAUUGGCAUUCGGUGUGGAUUGUGUAGCAUAGGCGGAAGGCUUCGAAGCCACGGCGCCAGCCGCGGUGGAGCCGCAAGGUGAAAUACCGCUCUGUUCGCAUUGGAUGUCUAACCUCGACCAGUCAUCCUGGUCAGGGACAGUGCCUGGCGGGUAGUUUAACUGGGGCGGUUGCCUCCCAAAGAGUAACGGAGGCGCUCAAAGGUUCCCUCAGCCCGGUUGGCAAUCGGGUGGCGAGUGUAAGUGCACAAGGGAGCUUGACUGCGAGACUGACGGGUCGAGCAGGGACGAAAGUCGGAACUAGUGAUCCGGUGCCGGUGUACGGACGCGGCAUCGCUCAACGGAUAAAAGGUACCCCGGGGAUAACAGGCUGAUCAUUCCCAAGAGUCCAUAUCGACGGGAUGGUUUGGCA